Molecule: ribosomal RNA, 51 nt
Filed under: Pyricularia oryzae
Lineage: Eukaryota; Fungi; Ascomycota; Sordariomycetes; Magnaporthales; Pyriculariaceae
Description: partial 28S ribosomal RNA
Source: RNAcentral
CAGGUAGGAAUACCCGCUGAACUUAAGCAUAUCAAUUAGCGGAGAAAACUG